Molecule: long non-coding RNA, 870 nt
Organism: Amphiprion ocellaris (clown anemonefish)
Lineage: Eukaryota; Metazoa; Chordata; Actinopteri; Pomacentridae
Source: Ensembl
ACUACACACAGGACCUCACUUUCACAAAGCAAAAGCCCAGUCUGCAACCAGAUGUUCAUGUUGUCAUUCUAAGAUGAGCAGGUAGUGAAGGCCGUGGUGAGCGUCUACCCAGCAGCAUCCACAGUCCACCUGGAGGGGAAGAGCUCCCUGCUGUGUCUGGCCUCAGCCAUGUUUCCUCCUCUGGUCCGCUUCUCCUGGAAAAGACAGAAGGAGGACGAGCGGCUGGAGGAUGUGGACCCUGCUGAGGGAGAGCAGCUGGAGAUCAGAGAGCCGGGACGCAGCGCCUCCAUCUGGCUGAUCCAUCAGCAACAGGACGGCACAUAUAAAUACAGCUGCUACGUCCAGCACGAGGGAGGAACAGUGGAGGCCCAGACACAACAAGCAGCCUCCUGUCCUCCAGAGAGAGAACCAGCAGACCUGCCAGCUCUGCAGCAAGCUCACUUGUCCUUCCAGUCUCAGUCUCAGGUGAAGCUGCUCUGUCUGCUGUCCACAGUGCUGAUAGUGAAGAGUCUGGUGUUCUGCUGUGGAAUCUCUCUGAUGAUGAUCCUCACAAACAAGGGACCGUCCACCAACUGCACACAUGCUGACUGACUGUUUGCUGCUGGACUUUUCUCACCGUCACAUCUCAUCCAAACAUAUCUUAUUGAUUUGAUCAGUGACCAGAAAUGUCAGCUGUGACUUGCUGUCUUUGGAUGUAAUGUGGAGUUAGAUAUAGAUGUUAUUAAGUUAUUCCAAACCUUUUAAUUGUUGCGUCCACAUAAUACAAAAUAUUGCUGCCUUAUAUACAUUUUAGCAUGUUUUUUCUUGUUUUUCUUUUCAUAAUCACAGUGUUGCAAUUUCUUCAUGUUUACUGAGUGCAGUAUUUUCAAU